Molecule: ribosomal RNA, 495 nt
Filed under: uncultured bacterium
Lineage: Bacteria
Description: partial 16S ribosomal RNA
Rfam family: Bacterial small subunit ribosomal RNA
Source: RNAcentral
GACGAACGCUGGCGGCGUGCCUAAUACAUGCAAGUCGAACGCUGAAGGAGGAGCUUGCUCUUCUGGAUGAGUUGCGAACGGGUGAGUAACGCGUAGGUAACCUGCCUGGUAGCGGGGGAUAACUAUUGGAAACGAUAGCUAAUACCGCAUAACAGUAGAUGUUGCAUGACAUUUGCUUAAAAGGUGCAAUUGCACCACUACCAGAUGGACCUGCGUUGUAUUAGCUAGUUGGUGGGGUAACGGCUCACCAAGGCGACGAUACAUAGCCGACCUGAGAGGGUGAUCGGCCACACUGGGACUGAGACACGGCCCAGACUCCUACGGGAGGCAGCAGUAGGGAAUCUUCGGCAAUGGACGGAAGUCUGACCGAGCAACGCCGCGGGAGUGAAGAAGGGUGUCGGAUCGUAAAGCUCUGUUGUAAGAGAAGAACGAGUGUGAGAGUGGAAAGUUCACACUGUGACGGUAGCUUACCAGAAAGGGACGGCUAACUACGUG